AUAUUCUAAGAUUAAAAAGAAAAAAAAAAUGAAAUGAAGGAACCAAAAUUUAGUCAAAGUCCUCUUUAUCUUCUCCUGUUUCGUGUCACUUCAAUGAAUUGCCACCACAAUAAAUUGUUGUCAAAUUGUCAAAGCAACAGUUAAACAUUCCUAAAAGCAACCUGCAGUAGAAUGAUCUAAGCUUCUCAAUUCAUCAAACAACUUCAAAAGAAAUAGAAAGGACUCAGUAAAGAUGAAACCCUCACACCAAAAACUUAUUUUCCUUCUCUCUUAUUUCAUCUCCUCUGUUUUCAUCAAUCUUUUUUCUGCAUUUUACUCUAAUAUGCAAUCCAAAUUUGCCCCUUGUUUCUUCAUCAAUGUUUUAGAUCUCUUCAAGUUAUUGAAUUUAGGCUCAAAAUUUUCUUCAAUCGGAGUUCAGAGCUAUGACAUAAGCCCUUUGCAAGUUUGGUGUAAUUGCUGAACUUUUUGAUGCGUUGCUGCUGUGCAUGGGUGUUAGUGUUGUUGUUGUGCGGUGAUACUGGGUCAUUAAUGUUAAGUUUUGUUGAGUUUCGAAUUUUAUUGGCAGAAUUUCAAAGUGGAGAUUUUAGUGAUUAAUUGAUCAGAUGGUCUUAGUUAUGAUAUUUAAAUAAGUUUGAGGGAUUGGUAUUAAAAGGUUUUAUUAAACGGUCGUUGAUUAUGUUAUUGUGUUGGGUGAAUUAUUUUGGACUUCAAGCUGGAGUUGAAGAUCAAGAUUAUCAUAAAUGUUCUUGGAGAUUGCAUAUAGUUGUGCUUGAAUAUGAGGUUUGUGUUGGUAGCUCAUAGUAGAUUGGAAGUAAAGAGUUGGUUAUUAAAUUGUAGAUAUACUAGUGAUUCAAAGGUUGUAUUUGGAAGUAUUCAAGUUCUUAGUGAAAGAUUUAAUAUUGUAUUGUUUUGGGAAUCGAGUAAUUAAGGUAUUAUGUAAUAUGUUAUUUGGUUUUGAAGUCAUUAUGUUGUGGGCCCAUAACCCAUAGGUCCAUGAUCGUUUUAUAGUUAUGUUUUCCGCUGCGAAUGAAUAUAAUUCAAAGGUUAUUAAGUGUUGAUUGAGAUUCAUGAAAGAUAAGUGUGAUUAGCUAGCAGCUCGGAAGUGCGGGCUUUUGGAGAUGGUAUCAUAGCAUGGUUGUUUAUAGUUGUCGUGAUCUUCAUAUCAUGGCAUAUGAGUUAAGAAAGAUAUUUAGAAUUAUUUAAAGUUGGUUAGGGUUAUUAGUUAGUUGGAAAUUGAGGAAAUUAAAGGUUAAAUAUCGAGAAUUUAGAAAUGUGAAAAGUGUUAUUUGGAAUAUAAUAUGUGAUGAUUUGAGGAAAUUGUGGACAAUCUUGGUUGAGGCUUAGUGAUUAUUGGAUUGAGGAGCCAUGAAUCAUUUGAGGUUAUAGAGUAAGUGUAUCUGUUUCAAUUUGGGAUUUUGUCUAAGAUGUUCAUGUGAUUUAAGCGUAUUGAAAUGAUCUUAAAUUUUACGUUUUCAAUUUUGAGGACGAAAUUUCUUCUAAGGGUGGUAGAUUAUAAUAGCCCAUGUUUUUAAAGCAUGAUUUAGGCAAAGUUAAUUAUGUUUGCUAGUCUAAUUAAGCUUUAAUAUUAAUAAGAGAUCAUUUGAGAAUUAUAUUAUCAUAUUCUUAUUUGUGUUGUGGAAAUUUUUGAAAUUAGAAAUGUUUUGAAAAUUUGAUAUACUAAGGUUAAAAAGAAAAAAAAAUGAAAUGAAGGAACCAAACUUUAGUCAAAGUCCCCGUUAGCUUCUCCUGCUUCGUGUCACUUAAAUGAAUUGGCACCACAAUAAAUUGUUGUCAAAUUAUCAAAGCAACAGUUAAACAUUCCUAAAGGCAACCUGCAGUAGAAUGAUCUAAGCUUCUCAAUUCAUCAAACAACUUCAAAAGAAAUAGAAAGUGUUACGUAGUAUGAAACUAGUAAUUUAAUACAACGACUCCCAACAACAGGUUCUUAACUUGGAGACUCGUGCAACAAUUAUUGGACUCGAUUCCCGAUACUGAGCUCCGACUAGCCAACUGCAAAAAAGGGACCACCCUGGAGGUUUGGGUGGUAUUUCCCCCUCCGAUGCUUAAGUCAGAUAUCAGGGAUAAUGUGAAGGAUAUUUUAGCGAGAGAAAGUAGAGAGAGAGAGAAUUUAUGGCAGAAUAACAGUACUAUACUCUGAAAAACGUACCUUUCCCCUGAUUUCAAGGACUAUCUAUACUGUUUGAAAUGAUUGUUGUACCUUGAUGUCACCCUAAUUUGAGAGCAUCUGAUUGGCUAAGCAAUAAAAUGGUGACAGGUGGCAGGUAUUGAUUGGUCAUCACACCUCACCUUUAUGCAGGAGUAUAAGAUGCUUUAGCUGGGCCUAAGUACAGGUUUGGGCCAUAAGAGUGGUUUUAGUACAUCUUUUUCCUGAGAAAGGUGUACUUUAGCCCACAUAAUUUUCUGACCGAUGUGCUUUACCUUCAUAAGCUUGCGCCACAUGUAAGGCUAGGAUGGAGCCACGUGUCAUCUUGGUAGCCCUUGAUUUUUAGGCUACAACAUUUGCCCCUUAAAAGUGGAAGUUACCAUUUAGGUGCCAAGACGGUGGAUUUCCUCUUUUAACCGACCUGGAACUGCCCUUCUCUUUUUCAAAAAAGAGGCGCCAUUUUGCCGGUCUCCACAGGUCAACCCUCAAGAGCAACGGUUUCUUUUAUCGGAUGAGGGGGUCACUUUCACCCCUCUAUAAAUAUGUGACUUUGUCGUUUCUGAAAUCAUUUUAACAUCGCUGAGAAAUUUUCUAGAGAGAUAGACUCCGCAAUUUUUACUGAGCUUUUUUAGAGAGAGAAAUUACUCCCGUCCAAGCUCUUGCAUACUACUACUUUGUCCGUCCGAAGUUCCGGUUCGUCCUUGACAUUCGUCCGAACUUUCUCUACAGGUAUUUCCUCAUUUAUUUCCUUUGUAUUUUCACGCAUAUUUUAAGAAAAUGGAUUCGUCCUCUUCAUCGAACAAUCCCGGCCGCUCAGGGGUUGGUACUACCCUAGAAUUGAGGGCUUGUCUUCCUCGGCAUCUUCUAGAGUUGGACCUAUCUCUGCCGAGCAUGCAUUCUUUUUCUUUAGUCAUGAACGGCAAAGUCAGACGACCCAGUCUUUACCUGUGCAGGGAAAUCUGGCGCGCGUCAAGCAAACAGCUCGUAUCAGACGAGGAGUUAACCUGCCGGCCUCCAGCUCAGAAAUGGAGGCAUCUACUGGACGGAUUCCCGCUGAUGGAGAGCGAGAAGUCCAAAGCGCUCUUCCUGCCAACCCAAAUCCUUCUCUUGAACUCGUCCAGGAGGGAUCCGAUGUUCGGGGCUCUCCAGACCCCAGCCCGUCCAAGCCAAGGACGGCCUCAGAUGAGUCGAACGAAGCUGAAACCUCUUCUAACCCGGCUAGCGAAUCUGACGAGCCGUACACAACUUCCUCCGAAAUAAGGCGCCGUCUUGGCCCCUUAUCUGACCCUAAAUACAUCCUAGCCGAAAGUGGCUGGCUAGGACGAGUAGGUCCUCACCUUGAACAUCUUUCUUCUGCCAUACCCAUGCCGGGAUAUCGGUUUGUUCUUCCUGGCCGGGAGGACACUAUACUUAGUGCUCCUGCUGGUCACUUCGCUGUUUAUCGGCUGGCUUUAGAUGCCGGGCUGCGAUUUCCAUUGCACCCCUUCAUCAGCCGCCUCCUUUAUUACUAUAACAUAGGACUUAACAAACUUGCCCCAAAUUCAUGGAAACAUUUUAACCUUCAUAGCCGUCUGCGAAUUUAAGGGUGUUGAUCCGUCCAUGGCUGCCUUUUCCCAAAUACACUAUGUCUCCAAGGUUCCGAAAACUGUUGAUGGGGCCUGGUUCAAUGUUUGUAAUCGUCAAGGUUUCAUGAUGUCUUGGGACAAGACGUCCAAGAUGCAUGCUUGGAAAGCUGAGUUCCUGUUCGUCCAAGCUCCUAACGAGGUGGUGGCCAGACGGUACUGCUACACUAGCCGGGUUGCUACCAAUGCUGGACGAACAGCGUCCUUCCUGGAGCUGGAAAACAGCUCAGCUGAGCAGUUGGUGGAAUACUUCAAAAUCUCGUAGUAUUCCAUCAACGACGUCUCCUUUAAGGGCCCGUCCAAUUGGAUCCCUUUCAAGGAGAUGUUUUACAAUGACGAUUUCCUGGUCGCGGCCGGCUUGCGGCGGGCCGAGGAUAGAGGUAUACCUUGUAAUAAUUUCAAAGUAAAUGCCCUCGUCCUAUAUUCAUGAUUUUAACCAUGUCUCUUUUUCUUAUGCAGACUCGGCCAAGGCGAAACUCAUAAGAUCUUGGAAAGGAGAUAUGAGUUUGUCCAGAUCCACAGACUCCUUCUGGAAGGAGUUCAGCAAGACUGGUGCUGAAAAGAGGACAGACACUCUGAAAAUGCCCCAGCGUCCAAGGCGUUGGCAGAGAAGGCGGCCUCCAAGAAAAGACCUGCCACAACUGGUGAGGCACCACCACCCAAAAAAUCCAAAGGAUUCACGGCCAAAAAGAAGAAGCCCUCCCGGCCGGCACCUAAGGUGGUUAUUUCCAUCCCAGCUGAGGAUGAGUCUCCGGCUAAAGAGGAGAGGGCCAUAAUCCCUUAUGCCGGCCCUAUCGACCAGACUCCUCCUCUUUAAUCUGAGCAACCAGAGGCAGUUGCUCAACUGGACGAGUCUGAAGCUAAGCCUGCUCAGCCGGAUGCUGCCUUAGACGGAUCGGCUUAUAAUGGGCCAGUCGCCAAGCGGUAGGCCAGAUGCCGGAGGCAUAUAGGAUGACCUCCCGUUCUUCUGGUGAGUCUUAUUACUCAAACAUAGUUAGAACCUUGCGCGUUGGCGGGCGGCCAAUGAGUCUGUCCAACCGUCAGACUGUUGUUAUUCCCGUCAAAAAUAUUGACGAGUCUCCUCUUUCAGAUAAGGGAAAGGGCAUAGCUGAAGAAGCUCCAGCCGGCUCUCCCACUCUUUCGGACGAUGAGUCCUCGGCUACUUUUUCGAGGAUGACAUCGGCCGAUCGUGAGAAGCUCAAGCAGGAGCUUUUCAAAUGCUUCCCUGAACCUUACAUUAAGGGUUUGAGGGGAGCCUCAUCAGGACAUGUUGGCUACAUGUCUCAACUGGCUGUAGAGCUCUUUGCUCGCAGCUUUAUUACUGAGGACUGGGCAAGGCAGUUGAGGAAAGAGAACUAAAAACUCGUUGCUGACGUUACCAAAGCUGCCAACCAUGCCCAGUAUUCCAUGGCCAAGCAGGAGUUACUGCAUCAGCAGUCGAAGGUGGCCUGGGAAAAGAGAUCGGGCGAGAUGGAGUCCCAAAUCAAAAAUUAUCUCCUCCGGCUGACCAGUCUUUUGGACGAGAAGGACGCUCUCCAGGACGAGAGGAAUGUGGCCUUCUGGCGCGGCGGAACUCAGAAGAGAGAACCGCUAUCUCCG
This is a long non-coding RNA of Beta vulgaris subsp. vulgaris (sugar beet), 5385 nucleotides long. RefSeq lists it as uncharacterized. Lineage: Eukaryota; Viridiplantae; Streptophyta; Magnoliopsida; Caryophyllales; Amaranthaceae. The record is from RefSeq and is a predicted model, not a curated record. The transcript has 5 exons.